UCUCUCUCGUUAUUUCUCUUAGUCCCUCUCACAUACACUCUCACUUUCUCUCUUGACAAUAACAGAGAGGCAUAGCUUUCUCUACCCCUCAGCAACAACAAAGAGCUUGGCUGUGAUUCAUGGAAUUGUUGGGACUGGGCUUCACCCAGCCGCACACUUCAUCUAUCUCACCUUAUUGGCUCUCUCUUUCUUUUUUCGGCGAGGUACGAUGGCCGAUACUCCUAUCUUUGGGGCUCUUUAUUUCUCUCGCAGCGAGGUGCGAUUGGCGCUCUCCGAGGCUCUCUCUCGGUGAGGUGCGAUUGGUGUGGGAGUUAGGCUACCACGGCAGCGAGGUUACACUCUUUCUCUCUUUCUCUUUCCGAGGCGUUCUCUCUAUUGCUCUUUCUCUCUUUUUCUCUGUGAUGGCAGGUGUGGCAAUGGAUUUUGUUCGGUGGAGUGAGUGAAGUUACCUUAGGCGUGGGUUUGUGGUGGCGGUGGCACUGGGCUUGCUAGUCAUGCAAUUUGACGACGCAUUCGAAAUCUAUGCCUCUGGAGGUACACCAACGAGUGUGAAGAAGUCGAGCAGAAGAAAUUCUGGAGAAGCCAGUGGGGAACCUUCAAGAAAAAGGGCUCGACUAGAGGACCCUCCAACUCUUAUUCCUUCUAGAGAAACUACACCUCCCCUCCUUGCACUGGAGCUUCCACCAACCAGACGGGGGGAUCUUUGGCAGCAGAAUUGUUGAGCAAUGCUUAUAGCUCAACAAACGAUAAACUGCAAAAACUAACCAUGCACCGCCGCAGCCAGGAGGCCUUUUCCUGUCUCCCUUCGCUGAAACCCAGCUAGGUCCUUGCUCAUGGGUUCAAUGAAGUCCUUAGUGGUAUUGUGACCAUGAACAACGGUUGGCGCCGUGCUAAGGAGGUCGAUUUAAAGCAUGUCGAGGAGAUUAAGGCAUGGGAGGCUAAGGUUAAGGCAGCUGAAGGCAAAGCUGUUGUUUUAACCUAGGAGCUGAAGAAAAGCCAAGAAGAUCUGGCUAAUGUUAUUGCGGCUAAGGAAAAAUUUAAGGAAGCCUCCGAGACCAACUAUAAGGAGGCAGCCAAGCUACAAGAAGAUCUGGAGGCUAGCAUGAAGGAGGCCACUAGUCUGGAGGUCCGAGUUAAACUGCUAAAGGAGAAAAAUUCCCAAAACUUGGAGAGGUUCUGAGGAGCCACCUUCAACUGCAUUUACAUGUCCUAGAAGAAUAAUCAAGAUGCGAAUUUUGAUUACCUUCCUAAGGAGGCAAAACAGGCUGAACUUGCCAAGUGCGCUGCUUGCCUGGAAGAGGAAAGUGCCCAAGAAUCUCCUGAAAUCUCCUUGGCGAUGGGCAUAGAUGGUGCCGAAGAAGAAGUUAGCCCUUCAUUCGAUCAACAACCUCAAUAGGACCCCCCUUCAGCCGCAUAAUAAAUAUGUUUAUUUAUGUAACUAAAACACCUGAACAACUUGUUUGUGGUGUUGAGACAAUUUGCUACCUAUGGCAGUUUUAUUUAUAUUUUAGUAUUUUUAAUUACAUCCGAGCAACAAUUGCUCAUGGUGUAAAGACAUUUCAUUUUGAUAUUAUAACAGUUGCACAUUAUUAUUGCUAUUAUAA
Molecule: long non-coding RNA, 1604 nt
Organism: Humulus lupulus (European hop)
Lineage: Eukaryota; Viridiplantae; Streptophyta; Magnoliopsida; Rosales; Cannabaceae
Exons: 3
Source: RefSeq, a predicted model, not a curated record